GGCAAUUGGAACAGCCUCAGCUCUACAAUCUUCAACUAUUUUGUAUGAUGUAUCUAAUCUAAUGGUCGUAGAUAACAUUGCGGGUCUGGUAUAUACACGACAAUCUCGUUUAAUCAGCAUUUUCCUGGAUGUGUGAAACUCUCUUUGAUGGAAAUUGAUGGAGUUUGAGAAGUAAGGAGUUCGUGACAACAAAUAUGGAGCUCGCGGCCAUCAAUCCACCUGAAAGUGAUGGUGUCAUGGCGAAAUCAAACUGUGGAAGCAGUAGACCGGCCGCAAUGGGUACAGCGAAGAUGUU
This 295-nucleotide unclassified non-coding RNA is filed under the name Hevea brasiliensis (rubber tree). The record is from RNAcentral. Lineage: Eukaryota; Viridiplantae; Streptophyta; Magnoliopsida; Malpighiales; Euphorbiaceae.